UAGGGAAUCUUGCGCAAUGGGCGAAAGCCUGACGCAGCAACGCCGCGUGGGGGAUGAAGGCCUUCGGGUUGUAAACCCCUUUCAGCAGGGACGAAACUGACGGUACCUGCAGAAGAAGCACCGGCCAACUACGUGCCAGCAGCCGCGGUAAUACGUAGGGUGCAAGCGUUGUCCGGAUUCAUUGGGCGUAAAGGGCUAGUAGGCGGCUUAGCAAGUCGGGUGUGAAAACUCCAGGCUCAACCUGGAGCGGCCACUCGAGACUGCUAUGGCUAGAGUCCGGUAGGGGACCACGGAAUUCCUGGUGUAGCGGUGAAAUGCGCAGAUAUCAGGAGGAACACCAGUGGCGAAGGCGGUGGUCUGGGCCGGAACUGACGCUGAAUAGCGAAAGCGUGGGUAGCAAACAGG
RNAcentral lists this ribosomal RNA (405 nucleotides) under uncultured bacterium. RNAcentral describes it as "bacterial SSU rRNA". It matches the Rfam family "Bacterial small subunit ribosomal RNA", at positions 355 to 776 of the family's 1533-position model. The record is from RNAcentral.